Molecule: ribosomal RNA, 1489 nt
Filed under: human gut metagenome
Description: bacterial LSU rRNA
Rfam family: Bacterial large subunit ribosomal RNA
Source: RNAcentral
AAUUCCAAUCGAACCCGGAUAUAGCUGGUUCUCCCCGAAAUAGCUUUAGGGCUAGCGUUGUAUUAGAUUACCGGAGGUAAAGCACUGAAUGGGCUAGGGGCUGAGAAGUUACUGAACCCUAUCAAACUAAGAAUGCCGGAUAAUUGAUGUACAGCAGUCAGACUAUGUGAGAUAAGUCUCAUAGUCAAAAGGGAAACAGCCCAGACCCACAGCUAAGGUCCCAAAAUGGAUUUAAGUGGAAAAGGAUGUGGAAUUGCACAGACAACCAGGAUGUUGGCUUAGAAGCAGCCACUCAUUAAAAGAGUGCGUAAUAGCUCACUGGUCGAGUGACUCUGCGCCGAAAAUUCAACGGGGCUAAAAUUCAUACCGAAGCUUGGGCUUGACAGUAAUGUCAGGGGUAGGGGAGCGUCGUAUACGAGGUGAAGUCAUAGCGGAAGCGGUGGUGGAUUGUAUACGAGUGAGAAUGCCGGAAUGAGUAGCGAGAAUUAUGUGAGAAUCAUAAUGGCCGAAAGUCUAAGGUUUCCUGAGGAAGGUUCGUCCUCUCAGGGUUAGCCGGGAGCUAAGGUGAGGCGGAAACGCGUAGCCGAUGCACAUACGGUAGAAAUUCCGUAGCCUCCGAAGAUUUAAGCACAGGGACACUUUUGAAGGGCUGAGCCGGGCGUUGGUUGCCCCGGUCGAAAGGGACACGAGUGAGUGGAAGUCAGUUUGGAAAGAGGCGAGAAAAGCUGUGUGUAUAUGGAAGGAGCCCGUACCGCAAACCGACACAGGUAGACAGGAAGAAGAUUCUAAGGCCAGCGGGAGAAGGGUUGUUAAGGAACUCGGCAAGUUGACCCCGUAACUUCGGGAGAAGGGGUGCUUACGAAGGUAAGCCGCAGAGAAUAGGCCCAAGCGACUGUUUAGCAAAAACACAGCUCUAUGCUAAAUCGAAAGAUGACGUAUAUGGGGUGACACCUGCCCGGUGCUGGAAGGUUAAGAGGAGAUGUGAGAGCAUUGAAUUGAAGCCCCAGUAAACGGCGGCCGUAACUAUAACGGUCCUAAGGUAGCGAAAUUCCUUGUCAGGUAAGUUCUGACCCGCACGAAUGGUGUAACGAUUUGGGCACUGUCUCAACAACCCACCCGGCGAAAUUGUAGUACCGGUGAAGAUGCCGGUUACCCGCGACUAGACGGAAAGACCCCAUGGAGCUUCACUGCAGCUUAAUAUUGGAUUUCGGUAUUUCAUGUACAGGAUAGGUGGGAGACUGGGAAAUACAGGCGUCAGCUUGUAUGGAGUCAUUGUUGGGAUACCACUCUUGAGGUGCUGGAAUUCUAACCUGUGGCCUUGAAUCAGGUCAGGGGACAUUGUUAGGCGGGCAGUUUGACUGGGGCGGUCGCCUCCUAAAAGGUAACGGAGGCGCUCAAAGGUUCGCUCAGCAUGGACGGAAACCAUGCCAGAGAGUGCAAACGCAUAAGCGAGCCUAACUGCGAGACUGACGGGUCGAGCAGUAACGAA